GACGAACGCUGGCGGCGUGCCUAAUACAUGCAAGUUGAGCGCUGAAGGUUGGUACUUGUACCAACUGGAUGAGCAGCGAACGGGUGAGUAACGCGUGGGGAAUCUGCCUUUGAGCGGGGGACAACAUUUGGAAACGAAUGCUAAUACCGCAUAAAAACUUUAAACACAAGUUUUAAGUUUGAAAGAUGCAAUUGCAUCACUCAAAGAUGAUCCCGCGUUGUAUUAGCUAGUUGGUGAGGAAAAGGCUCACCAAGGCGAUGAUACAUAGCCGACCUGAGAGGGUGAUCGGCCACAUUGGGACUGAGACACGGCCCAAACUCCUACGGGAGGCAGCAGUAGGGAAUCUUCGGCAAUGGACGAAAGUCUGACCGAGCAACGCCGCGUGAGUGAAGAAGGGUGUCGGAUCGUAAAACUCUGUUGGUAGAGAAGAACGUUGGUGAGAGUGGAAAGCUCAUCAAGUGACGGUAACUACCCAGAAAGGGACGGCUAACUACGUG
Molecule: ribosomal RNA, 497 nt
Filed under: uncultured bacterium
Lineage: Bacteria
Description: partial 16S ribosomal RNA
Rfam family: Bacterial small subunit ribosomal RNA
Source: RNAcentral